RNAcentral lists this ribosomal RNA (374 nucleotides) under uncultured organism. RNAcentral describes it as "partial 16S ribosomal RNA". It matches the Rfam family "Bacterial small subunit ribosomal RNA", at positions 527 to 896 of the family's 1533-position model. The record is from RNAcentral.
GUAGGUGGCUAGCGUUGUCCGGAAUUAUUGGGCGUAAAGCGCGCGCAGGCGGUUCUUUAAGUCUGAUGUGAAAGCCCACGGCUCAACCGUGGAGGGUCAUUGGAAACUGGAGAACUUGAGUACAGAAGAGGAAAGCGGAAUUCCACGUGUAGCGGUGAAAUGCGUAGAGAUGUGGAGGAACACCAGUGGCGAAGGCGGCUUUCUGGUCUGUAACUGACGCUGAGGCGCGAAAGCGUGGGGAGCAAACAGGGAUUAGAUACCCUGGUAGUCCACGCCGUAAACGAUGAGUGCUAAGUGUUAGGGGGGUUUCCGCCCCCUUAGUGCUGCAGCUAACGCAUUAAGCACUCCGCCUGGGGAGUACGGCCGCAAGGCUG